GGGGGUAUAGCUCAGUUGGUAGAGCAGCUGACUCUUAAUCAGUAGGUCGUAGGUUCGAAUCCUACUGCCCCCACCA
Molecule: transfer RNA, 76 nt
Filed under: Azoarcus sp.
Lineage: Bacteria; Pseudomonadati; Pseudomonadota; Betaproteobacteria; Rhodocyclales; Zoogloeaceae
Also listed under: 23 other names
Description: tRNA-Lys
Rfam family: tRNA
About the family: Transfer RNA (tRNA) molecules are approximately 80 nucleotides in length. Their secondary structure includes four short double-helical elements and three loops (D, anti-codon, and T loops).
Source: RNAcentral